AGAGAAGCGCAAACGGUGGAUGCCUUGGCAGUAAGAGGCGAAGAAGGACGUGGAAUCCUGCGAAAAGCUAUGGGGAGCUGGAAACGAGCGUUGAGCCAUAGAUGUCCGAAUGGGGGAACCCGGCUGCAGCGAUGCGGUCAUUUGCAUUUGAAUACAUAGGAUGCAAAGGCGAACUCGGGGAACUGAAACAUCUAAGUACCCGAAGGAAAAGAAAUCAAGAGAGAUUCUCCAAGUAGCGGCGAGCGAACGGGGAGGAGCCUGGCGUGAUUUAUUAUUGAACUGAGUAGAACAAUUUGGGAAAGUUGGCCGUAGAGGGUGAAAGCCCCGUAUACGAAGGUUUGAUGAGGAACUAGGCACGCGAACAAGUAGGCCGGGACACGUGAAAUCCUGGUUGAAGAUGGGUGGACCAUCAUCCAAGGCUAAAUACUACUUACUGACCGAUAGUGAACCAGUACCGUGAGGGAAAGGUGAAAAGAACCCCGGAGAGGGGAGUGAAAUAGAAUCUGAAACCGUUUGCGUACAAGCAGUGGGAGCAUAGUUUAGGCUGUGUGACUGCGUACCUUUUGUAUAAUGGGUCAGCGAGUUACUUUCAGUGGCGAGGUUAACUGAAUAAGGGAGCCGUAGAGAAAUCGAGUCUGAAUAGGGCGAUAGUCGCUGGGAGUAGACCCGAAACCGGGCGAUCUAGCCAUGUGCAGGAUGAAGGUUGGGUAACACCAACUGGAGGUCCGAACCGGGUAAUGUUGAAAAAUUAUCGGAUGACGUGUGGCUAGGAGUGAAAGGCUAAUCAAGCCCGGAGAUAGCUGGUUCUCCCCGAAAGCUAUUUAGGUAGCGCCUCGUGAAUGAUUACUGGGGGUAGAGCACUGUUUCGGCUAGGGGGCUGUCAUGGCUUACCAAACCGAUGCAAACUCCGAAUACCGGCUAAUUGAAUCACGGGAGACACACGGCGGGUGCUAACGUCCGUCGUGG
This 966-nucleotide ribosomal RNA is filed under the name Legionella pneumophila. RNAcentral describes it as "partial 23S ribosomal RNA". It matches the Rfam family "Bacterial large subunit ribosomal RNA", at positions 1 to 1013 of the family's 2925-position model. The record is from RNAcentral. Lineage: Bacteria; Pseudomonadati; Pseudomonadota; Gammaproteobacteria; Legionellales; Legionellaceae.